AGGGAAUAUUGCGCAAUGGACGGAAGUCGGACGCAGCGACGCCGCGUGAGCGAUGAAGGUCUUCGGAUCGUAAAGCUCUGUCCUUGGGGAAGAAGGCGAAAGCUUGACGGUACCCAAGAAGAAAGCCCCGGCUAACUACGUGCCAGCAGCCGCGGUAAUACGUAGGGGGCGAGCGUUGUCCGGAAUUACUGGGCGUAAAGGGUGCGUAGGCGGCCCUUUAAGUCGGAUGUGAAAGCCCGCGGCUUAACCGCGGAAUGGCAUUCGAAACUGGAGGGCUUGAGUGUCGGAGAGGGUAGUGGAAUUCCCAGUGUAGCGGUGAAAUGCGUAGAUAUUGGGAGGAACACCAGUGGCGAAGGCGACUACCUGGACGAUAACUGACGCUGAGGCACGAAAGCUAGGGGAGCAAAC
Molecule: ribosomal RNA, 408 nt
Filed under: uncultured bacterium
Lineage: Bacteria
Description: bacterial SSU rRNA
Rfam family: Bacterial small subunit ribosomal RNA
Source: RNAcentral